This 862-nucleotide ribosomal RNA is filed under the name uncultured bacterium. RNAcentral describes it as "bacterial SSU rRNA". It matches the Rfam family "Bacterial small subunit ribosomal RNA", at positions 71 to 910 of the family's 1533-position model. The record is from RNAcentral.
UGAUUGACGAUGGAUCACCAGUGAGUGGCGGACGGGUGAGUAACACGUAGGUAACCUGCCCCGGAGCGGGGGAUAACGUUUGGAAACAGAUGCUAAUACCGCAUAACAACAAAAGCCACAUGGCUUUUGUUUGAAAGAUGGCUUUGGCUAUCACUCUGGGAUGGACCUGCGGUGCAUUAGCUAGUUGGUAAGGUAACGGCUUACCAAGGCGAUGAUGCAUAGCCGAGUUGAGAGACUGAUCGGCCACAAUGGAACUGAGACACGGUCCAUACUCCUACGGGAGGCAGCAGUAGGGAAUCUUCCACAAUGGGCGCAAGCCUGAUGGAGCAACACCGCGUGAGUGAAGAAGGGUUUCGGCUCGUAAAGCUCUGUUGUUGGAGAAGAACGUGCGUGAGAGUAACUGUUCACGCAGUGACGGUAUCCAACCAGAAAGUCACGGCUAACUACGUGCCAGCAGCCGCGGUAAUACGUAGGUGGCAAGCGUUAUCCGGAUUUAUUGGGCGUAAAGCGAGCGCAGGCGGUUGCUUAGGUCUGAUGUGAAAGCCUUCGGCUUAACCGAAGAAGUGCAUCGGAAACCGGGCGACUUGAGUGCAGAAGAGGACAGUGGAACUCCAUGUGUAGCGGUGGAAUGCGUAGAUAUAUGGAAGAACACCAGUGGCGAAGGCGGCUGUCUGGUCUGCAACUGACGCUGAGGCUCGAAAGCAUGGGUAGCGAACAGGAUUAGAUACCCUGGUAGUCCAUGCCGUAAACGAUGAGUGCUAGGUGUUGGAGGGUUUCCGCCCUUCAGUGCCCGGAGCUAACGCCAUUAAAGCACUUCGCCCUGGGGGAGUACGACCCGCCAAGGUUGAAACCUCAAAGGAAU